ACAUUAAAACUCUUACUCAUACCCUGGCAUAUAAUAGGCCCUCAAUAAAUGCCAGGUAUUAUUAGGCGAUAGCAGUGCCUAAAACUCCAGAUCCCCUGCAUUAGAUAGACAGGGUCUGAAUCCUGGCUCUGCCAUUGUGUGACCGUGUAAGUCUUUGGACUUCAUUAAGAUUCAGGAUUCUUAAACAAGAAACAGCCAUAAUAUUGGUGUUUUAUCCAACAGAUCAAAUAAGGUCAUGCAGGCAAGGUUCCUCAUUCAGGGCCAAGCACACAGGGAGCUCAGAAAAUGGUGGUUAUGAAGAUUGGCCUAUUGCGAUGGCACCUGUUUCCUGUGUAACACAGACCAGCAAAGCUGCAAAGUUUCUCCAGGCCAAAGGACCCUUGAAAUUUAAAGCUGAGUCCCAAGUACUAGAAACUCCCAAGGGACUUACCUGCCUUGUGCAACGGAAUUCCCCGCACGCCCAGAGCCCAGCAGAGAGGAGGCACUCCAUACACGCCUUCCAACCACCAACUGCUGAAGGAGGCUCAGGUUAAGUCAUUCUCUUCAGGCUCCAGGACAAGCGGGCCCGGUUUGUAGGUUACAGCCUUAUCUGGGGACCCUCGUUUUCCACCCCAGCUACACGUCUGUGAACAAUCGCCUCUCUCCGGCCCCUGAAAGGAGAGCGAGCGCCCCAUUUCUGCUGAAUGCACACGUCUCAGUUCAUCCAAGGCUGGCGGGCUUUUGAUGGCCACAAUGCGAGUUACGCCCAAAGAGUGUCUCUUUGGUCAGAUCGACAACGCUUGGCUUCACGUUUGCAAGUUAAACGGGCAGAAACCCGGCUGAAACUCCCACGCCAGACGCCGGGGACGCUUCCCUCCGCCCAUUUGCUUUGUCGGCAGCUUUACCCCAACAAACAAACAAAAAAUGAGAGCGUUUUUCUGCUUGUCUUCACCUAGGUAGCUGCUUUCUUCCAGGCCCUGAAAAUGUGACUCCUUCAUAAAAUCAAAAUUUAUGAUUAUUCAAAUGUUGGGGACUGUGAAAAGAGAGGAAGAAAGAGAGAAAAUUAAUAUUGCAGCUGUUCUUCUGAUUAAUGAGAGAUAAUUGCUCAUGAAAAGUCACCCCUGUGGCAUUUUGUUGUCUCCUGGAUCUUUGUUCUUUUCCACUAUUAUUGAGGACUUUCUUGAAGACUAAGCGGUUCUUUUCAAUUUUUGGGUAUUCAGAAAGGGUUGCCUGGUUACAGAGAAUGGGGAAAUCUCGGGCUAUAUCGGGUAAGAUGUGCCACAGACAGCAAUAUCACAAUGCCACUCGGAGAAAAGGAUGGAUACAAGUUAACGAUGCGCUUUCAAUAAAACAUUCAUAGACUUGUUCA
This 1348-nucleotide long non-coding RNA is filed under the name Felis catus (domestic cat). RNAcentral describes it as "lncRNA (ENSFCAG00000042399.2)". Lineage: Eukaryota; Metazoa; Chordata; Mammalia; Carnivora; Felidae. The record is from RNAcentral.